This 1259-nucleotide unclassified non-coding RNA is filed under the name Hevea brasiliensis (rubber tree). The record is from RNAcentral. Lineage: Eukaryota; Viridiplantae; Streptophyta; Magnoliopsida; Malpighiales; Euphorbiaceae.
CUGUUCAAAUUUCAAAUCAAAAGGUGAUUGUUCUUCAAACUUUCUGCGUGUCCACUAAUGCAUUUAUCCUUUCACAUUUGAUAUCACAUUCUCAGUGCUGUGUCAGACAUGUAGAAAUGUUUAUUUAUGCAUAUAGGGAUAGAUAGACUUGUUUGAAAUAUAAAAUAAAGUAAAAAAAAAAAAAGUAAGAAAACAAGUUCAGUUGAAAGUACAAUGAAAGAGAAAAGCGCGGGACUCAAAGAGGACUUAAACCCUCUGCCACACGAAACCCCCCACGCUUUCUCUCUCUCCUCUGUUUCGAUUUCCGACACCUCCCAAACCAUACCCGAUACCUCUAUCCGGUGAAACAUACCCUAACUCACCAAAAAUCUCAAGUUUCCUUUCCUCUUCCUCUCUUCACUCACCGAACCACCAUUACCCGAUUUCAUUUUUGUUUCAAUGGCUCGCUCCAAACGAAAAUCCCCUGUUGUUGCAGCUGCUUCAUCUUCCUCGUCAGCCUCCGACGAUGUUCCUGUCGCGGCAUUGCGAAAGAAAAUGAAAGGAAAGCAAAACGUGCCGAAAUCAAAAUCAGCUAGUGAGUCUUCUCACUCGUCCAAGGGUGUUGAAUCCUCUAAAUCGACGCCAGAAAAGAAAAAGACGGUACAGAAGCAAGGGACGGAUGCUAAAAAGAAAAUGGGUAUCGAAAAACUUUCGGGUUCAGUGGAUAAAGCACUGUUGGAUUGCAAAUUCAUCAAAUGGGAGAACUUUAAUCAGGUAAACUUCACUUUAAAGAGCUUUUUGAGUUUCAAGGCUAGUUGGGUGUCUGUGAAUGUGCAAAUGAGUACUACCCUAGGCUUGUACAAGAAUUUUAUAGAACCUUGCGAACUGUUGAUGAUGAGGAUCAAUUUGAAGUUAUUUUGAAUACACAUACAUAUAGUGUCUCUGUUGAAUUGAUAGCCACGGCUUUAAAAUUGCCCAAUGAUGGAAAUAGAAUUUCCACGCAUAAGGAUGUUGCUAGAGUAGCAGGUUUUAAUCUGGUUGAGUUUGAGAAUGAGGUAUUUCCUGCUAGCACUGCCAAAAAUGAGAAAUCCACCAGUACCAAAGCCCUCCAGCAUAUCAAAAUUAUUCACAGUAUGGUGAACUACAUUUUCUGUCCUAAAUCUGGUAGCUAUGGUAAUUUGAGUCACUUGGACAUGUGUGUUAUGUGGCACAUUGUGAAUAAAGUUAGGAUGAAUUUAGCUUAUUUAAUUUUCAAAAACAUGUGCAAAGCUUAUGGGAUU